GAGAACAACAAGAGGUCAGGCCUCAGGGUGUCUGGGACCUGGCCCCAGGCCUGGUCAUCACUACAGUGUGAUCUUUGUUUGACAGGUUACUUCUCUUCCCCAUUCUUCAGUUGCCACAUCUAAAACAUCAAGAGGAGAGAAAAACCUACCAACCUAUACAAAGCAAUGUAUGUUGUAGCUAAAAACUAGAAAUGGCUCAAGUUACCUGGUAAUGGGGAAAAUGCAGCAGACUGGGAGAAAGAAGGUACAGCCACACUUUUCCAUCACGGAGGAGACUAGAAAUGAGAUCACAGGGGUCUCCUGCUUCAAGGUUUUCAGCUACUUCAUGUUGCCUACGGCACUGGCGGGCAACCUUGGCUGCAAUUUGGAAUCAUCUGAGCAACUUUGAAAACUACUGGUGUGGGGGAGCGCUCUCGGAGAUUCUGACUUAAUUGAUGUGGGUAUAGCUUUAGCAUUGGAGGGAAAACUGCCGGCCUUCAGGAUAAAGGCCUGACUCAUGCACUUCGCACACAUGGCCCUUCUUGACUCCAGUGAACUCUUACGUCCUUUUUACCCAUUUUUUUCCCACACCGGUUACAACAUCCCUAACACGUUACACCCUGCUAUUCACAAUCCU
Molecule: long non-coding RNA, 616 nt
Filed under: Ictidomys tridecemlineatus (thirteen-lined ground squirrel)
Lineage: Eukaryota; Metazoa; Chordata; Mammalia; Rodentia; Sciuridae
Description: lncRNA (ENSSTOG00000034521.1)
Source: RNAcentral